UAACAAAAAUGGGAAUCAGUUGGGAUCGCAGUUUGCAACUGGACUGCGUGAAGCUGGAAUCGAUAGUAAUCGCGGAUCAGCAUGCCGCGGUGAAUAAGUUCCCGGGCCUUGUACACACCGCCCGUCACCCCCCGAGAGUUUGUAACACCCGAAGUCGGUGAGGUAACCUUUUAGGAGCCAGCCGCCGAAGGUGGGACAGAUGAUUGGGGUGAAGUCGUAACAAGGUAGCCGUAUCGGAAAAGG
This 243-nucleotide ribosomal RNA is filed under the name Bacillus subtilis. RNAcentral describes it as "partial 16S ribosomal RNA". It matches the Rfam family "Bacterial small subunit ribosomal RNA", at positions 1273 to 1514 of the family's 1533-position model. The record is from RNAcentral. Lineage: Bacteria; Bacillati; Bacillota; Bacilli; Caryophanales; Bacillaceae.